ACAGUGAUGGAAAGAUGAAAAGAACUUUGAAAAGAGAGUGAAAAAGUACGUGAAAUUGUUGAAAGGGAAGGGCAUUUGAUCAGACAUGGUGUUUUGCGCCCCUUGCCUCUCGUGGGCUUGGGACUCUCGCAGCUCACUGGGCCAGCAUCGGUUUUGGCGGCCGGAAAAAACCUAGGGAAUGUGGCUCUGCGCCUCGGUGUAGAGUGUUAUAGCCCUGGGGCCGGAAAAAACCUAGGGAAUGUGGCUCUGCGCCUCGGUGUAGAGUGUUAUAGCCCUGGGGAAUACGGCCAGCCGGGACCGAGGACUGCGAUACUUGUUAUCUAGGAUGCUGGCAUAAUGGUUAUAUGCCG
Molecule: ribosomal RNA, 350 nt
Filed under: Nakaseomyces glabratus
Lineage: Eukaryota; Fungi; Ascomycota; Saccharomycetes; Saccharomycetales; Saccharomycetaceae
Description: eukaryotic LSU rRNA
Rfam family: Eukaryotic large subunit ribosomal RNA
Source: RNAcentral